Molecule: long non-coding RNA, 6628 nt
Organism: Pleuronectes platessa (European plaice)
Lineage: Eukaryota; Metazoa; Chordata; Actinopteri; Pleuronectiformes; Pleuronectidae
Exons: 3
Source: RefSeq, a predicted model, not a curated record
ACGUCUCUGCAGCGUUCAGGGGAGGGAUGGCGCAGCAUACAGAGGCAGGACAUGAAGGUUUUUUUUCUUCUGCACAUCAACUGCAGCGUUGGCCCUCAUCACCUGAAGCUCUCGAAUCGAGUUGUCUUUCCAAGUUGACAUCUUCUUUGGGGUCUUCUACGUGUAAAGCUGCUUUUAUUUUUAACCUGAUCCCUUUUGUUUUUCUCAGUUUUGCGUCCGUCUCGAGUUGGAGACGUCAUUAACUUGCCCACUUGAUCACGGUGGAUCCUCCAGACAUUACCCAGAUGGGCCCCUUCGGAUUUUUACCUGGGGGGUUGCAGAAAAAAAUCUGGAGAUUGACCAGAGCCUCCAACUGGGACAAUCGCGCCAUGUCUCUGUAGUUUCUCGGGAGGAGCUGAGUUUAUACGUCCCUUCAUGCCUCUGCCUGCUGCACCCGGCUGCUCCACCUCUCGCCUGAAUAAUACAGAGGAUUUGUUGCUGUUGAAAACACAUCUGUGCACCGAAGCUCCCGCCACGUUGUGCAUCUGUGAAAGGCAAACUCUUGGUAAACUCCAGAAUUCUCCAGACUUUAUCCGCAGGUCAUGUCUGAAGAUGGCUAUACAGUCCCUGUGAAAAGUUUCAGAAGAUUAUGAGGAGUUCAGUGCAUGUCUGAAUGAGACCUUAUUGAUCACGUCACAGAUAUGGCGCCUUAAGUGUGGGAGUAUUUUAGAAAGACACCCAACAAACCCACUCUGCAAAUUGGAAAUGCCUUAUCAGAGCCGAACAACUGCUCUGCACAGGCACUUGAAGUGAAAGCAGUGGAGCACUUUGUGGAGGCGGCAGAAAGACAGCACAGCACAGCACUUUUUUAACAUGCAGGACGUGUUUCUGUUGGUAGUAGUCACUUGGGAAUAUACAUUUUCUGAGUGUUUGUUCAUCACCAGUAAUUUUUGAACGUCUGCUGUUAUCUCAGAUGACUUGCCCAUGAUCAGUUAAAGUGAGGGAGUCUUUUUAGACGCAGGUCCAAUACUGGGGUUCUGUGUAAUCUUUGCAAAUUGUCUUCUCAAUUCAUCAUAUAUUGGGAUAAUCAACACAGGGAACGUGCUUCUGUUAGUUAUAACAGAUUUUUCUGAAUGUGUACUCAUCAGCCUGUCAAGAAUGUUGGCACUGCGGCAGCUGUGGGAACAUAACGUUGCACCUCAGCCAUUUAGUAUUUUUUUCUGUUUAGUUAAACCAACAAGAAAAUGUCUUAAACUGUUGUUAUAGUUUGUAUAUUUUGUUCUUUCUCCCACACUGAUACAAACAUUUUUUUUUUUUAACAGAAUAAUCCUCAUAGGACUUAAAUAUAGUUUAAAUAUAGAGUUUUGAGUCAGGUCUUUAGGUAAAAAUGUUGUUUUUCCAAUUCAGGAUUUAGUGGACUUGGUUCAGUUUAUAUUCCAUACACUGCACUAGUACAUUAAAUGAGAUGAGCAAAUAUAUUUUUUUUAAAUGAUUAAAUAACAACUAGGAAAAAAAACUGUGUAUAUGUACAAAUAUUUUAGUAUCAGUGUGGAUGCCCAAAUACCUGAAUAUCAAAUGUUUCUUCCUAGAUAUGUAAAACAGAUCAACAAACAACAUAGUGUUAUUACGUUUUUUCGACUCUCAAUGGAGACUCCAGAAGGGUUUUGUGGACUCAAACACUUCACCCACCCAUCCAUCGUCAUAGGGUGCAGUGGACGUCUGUCGUGCUGCUUCAGCACACUGUCACCAUGGCGAUCCCUGGGGAAAGGUCAUGAGCCGCCCGGCUGGGAUGGUUGAAGGUCCUCGGAUUGGCUACUGAUGCUGAUGACACAGACUGGCUGGCACACACUAGUCAUCCUUCAGCUGGCUCGUUGUCAAACUUUGUUGUUUCAGAGGAUCAGUUUUCCCCAAAGCUGUGGCUUCCUGGUCGAUGCUGUGCACAAUACACAAGUGUCCCUGAGGGCGGUUAGUAAUGUUUUUAGAAAAAAAGAUGCUUAUAGUUUUUCAUGUCGUAUUUUUCAUUUGACAGGGUAAUGUCAAAAAUGAUCAACAGUGAAACUCUCCACUGAUAACCAACACUCGUAAAAUUCUAUUAGGGGAGUUAACAGCUCCUCGUGUGCAAUUUCAGUUUCAAUCCAGCAAGUGAAGAGCACUCCUUGUCUAUUUAAAAACAGUAAAAGGCAUUACCCAUCUUUUACAAGUGUUCAGUUAAUGAGACAAACCUAUCCACUUCGCACCUGCUCAUUUAUUUCUGUAGAGUGCACAUUUUAUUUCCGCCUAUUAGGCUGCUCUGUGAAAAACGAUAAUAGAUUUGCUUACAUUUACAUAUGAAACCUCUCCACUUACAAAUGCCUGCAUCUGUCCGAACCAUCUUUAACAGAACUCUUACAGGACACUUUCCAGCACAUUCACUCGUUCACACAGCUCUCCCAUAUUAGGUGUUUUGUUUGUCAUGAAUCUCCUUCACAUUGCUGCCAGCACAGCAGAAGUAAUUUGUGGGUUCAGUGUCUUGCCCUGUGAGACUUGAGCAUGGGGAGAGGACAAGCUGGGAAUCAAACCACCAACCCAGCCCUGCGGCCCAGUAUCAGCACAUGUUAAAAGUGAAGUGAUACAUUCAGUUGAAAUAAUAGCAUAGGGCAAUUCAGCAUCAGAUCAUCCAGAGAAAGAUGUGUUCAAUCCCCUCUUCCCUCACUGAUGUGUGAGUAUGCAGCAAGAUGCCAGUGCUGGACAUGAACACACGCUCACACCAGCAUUUAGAGGAAUCCAUUUCAACUUUGAUAUGUGAAAUUGACCCAUAGCAGACCAUUUCCUAAGUGUUGACCUUUGCAUGGCCGUCCAGCUGUAUUCCAGCUCAGCUCCCACGAACAGCAACGCACUGUGAGGUGAUUUUUAGCAGAGUUGCCACAAUUGGAAUUUCAGGUUUCAUGAGGCUGACCAGACAUUUCCCAUAUAAAAUCAUUUAAAAAGUAAUGGCUGAGCAAUAUACUGCCUCCAGCUGAUUACAAUUCAAAUAAGAAUCAAUUAGAGGCCACUAGGACAAUAUUUUCUAAGCCAGAUUAGUGAAUUAUUAAUUUUUCAACAUGAGGUCAACUGGAAGUCAGACGGAUUAGAUGUUUGAUGUGGACCGUGACUUUGUUUUGGUCCAUCCACUAACAUGGAGGAGACAGAGUUUCAAGAUGAUUUGGCCUCACUUUUGGGCAGUUGUCAUGUUGUCCAUCUUUAUAUACAGUCUAUGCUUUACAAUAAAGUGUCACUUAAAUACCAGUAUUAAAAUAACGAUUGAGUCUUAAAAAAACAGCCAGGACCAUAGUGAAUAAAUAAAGGCCAGCAGCAACUUAUUCUAGAGUAGAAUUUAAAAAAUAAAGUUGGGAGUUUAAGUACCAGUAGCCAACUACAGUGGCUCAUGGGAUAUAUUUGGUGUCCAAUGCCCAAUUCUACAGCACCAUUUCCAUCAGUAAAACUGUAAACUGAUUAUAAUGUCUCUCAUUUUUCACAUUAAAAUCCUUCUCGUUAAUGGUUGGCUGCACAUGUUUUAAUGUGAAAGCUCGGGAGGAAGUGUGCUUUCAUGCAUGGCAGCUUUGCCUCAUUCGUAGGGAAACAGACAUGUUGGAAUAUCUGAUGAGACACAUGCUGUGCUGAUGGAAAUUUUACAGUAGAAAUUCACCUAAUUCUGAAUCUAAGAGACAACACACGGAGGAGGCUUUGGUUUAAAAUAAGUAGGGGACAAAUUUGGAUUAAAUGAGAAUUAUCUUGCCUGUCCCACAUAAAACCUGCAUCUCCCUGUAUGUGAUAAAGCACGUAUUUAACAAGGGCGCUUAGCUGAACUUCACUGUCCCACUCUGUGACAAGGCACUUAACCUAAGUUCAUACAGCACAGCACAUUCAACAGACAUUUCAAAGAUCCACAUCCACAGACACCGCCGUGUCCCGUGUACCAUGGCAACAGAACAUGAAAUCGUUAGAUUCACAUACAGUAAGUGAUGCUGACAGUCGCCCUGGUUGGGCUUAAUCAAAACCGAGAAAAUCAACUUGACUUCUAAAUACACUCUGCUCGCUGCUGUCAUCCAACAGAGGCAGAGCAGUCACCUCUCAUUAGACAUGCGGCUGUCACACACAGCCAAAAUGCAUACAUCACAGUCAUCACAGUGGGGAGUUUAAUACGCAGGGUUCCCUACUGAUUGCAGGGAGGAAGGUAAGCUCGGAUGUUUAUAUUUCUAAAUCCCACAGUACAAGCUGAAGCUGUAGCUCUGACUGGGUUGCAUUGGAAGGGUGAAAAUAGCAGGAAGCGUUAAUUUACUGCCCCGUGAAAUUUAAGACUCCUGCUAUGUUUUCGUUUGAAAACUGCAUUUUCAAACUAAAUAUCAGUUUUAAUCCCCAUCCAUACUAACACGCUUAAAAAUGCAUAUUAUUACAUGUCAUUUGGCGGAUGCUUUUAACCAAAGUGAUUUACAAUUAGUGCAUUCAACAUCUAUGAGGGGCCAUUUGAGGGGUUCAGUAUCUUGCUCAAGGACACUUAGGCAUGCAUAUGGGGAAAACUGAACGGCCAGCCUUCUGGUCGGAGGCCGACGCCUCUACUCCUCAGCCAGAGUCGCCACUCACAUACACCCGGCAUGCACGUGCUGGUGUACACAGGAAGCAUUUGGUUGUUGGUUGCAGAAAGAGCGAGAUUUCUCAAAUGAUAGCUUGUCUCCAAACAGCUAUUUGCAGAAACAACAGGGUCAGCAAGGAUUGUAAUUGAUCCACGAUGCAUUCUGCACUUAUAGUCGAGGCUAAUGCUGGCUGUUUUCUUCUGGAAAGGGGUCAUGCAAUAGCAACCUGACCAACCAGGGAAGGCUAUGUUGUGACCAAAAAGACCCAAUCAGCAAGCGUUUGUUUCUGCCCAUCCAGAAUAGAACGCAGCAUUUCCAAACCUCUCAAUUUCAGCAGCUGUAAAACUCCAGUGUAGUGUGGACACCAGGCGUAUUCAUAACAGAGUUGAUGGAUUAUCAAAUUAAAACUUAGUAGUAUAGGUGUACCCUCAAACACCAUCAGAUAACAUAGAAACAGUUUUGAUGUAAUUGCUGAUUAACCUGGUUCUCAACAAAAAUGUUCACAGUUCACCUUCACUAGAAACAGCUGCAGGAAGAACAAUCUGAACUCAAGUUCUUGUUACACACUGCUUGCCUCUUCUUCUUGUGCUUGCUUUUGUCCCACAGUCCAAAGACAUGCAGGCUAGACUGGUUUCUAAUCUUCCCAUAGUUGUGAUGCACGAAUGGUUGUUUGUCUUUAUAUUUCAGCCCUGUGAUUGACAGCGACAUGACCAGGAUUUACCCCGCCUCUCACCCUUUGUCAGCUGGGAUUGAGCUACCUCAACUGAUUACCUGAUUAUCUCAACUUCUAAUUCCAGUUGACUCAUCACCUGCAGCUUAAGACCUCUUCAGUGUACAUUCAAGAAAUGGUUUAUGUUUCUUUUAUGUUCAUUACUUAUUCCUGUGUCCUUGCUCACUGCCACAACCAACCUCCACCUGCUCACCUGUUGUUUGGUUCCUACCAUGCCGUGUCAACCAGCCACCCACAUCUUACAUCAGCCUGCCCCCUGCUCCACCAGUGCUUGCCCAGUGAUCAAGAACCCUACACCUUUUACUAGAAAUUCAACACCGGACUCUUUACCAAUGUGUCAAUGUCCGCUUCUGGGUCAGCCGUACACAAUAAAUUGAACAGCUACCUAUGUUUCAAAUGGUUGGCAUCAUGGAACAUGGUGGCAGCUGAUCAUGGCUUAUGAAUAAAACUAGAUAGCUGCCUUCAUCUCUGUCAUACAUUUUCCUACGGACAAUUACUUAACACAUCUGCAUUCAUGUUAGGCGCCGUCUGUUCUCAUUAAUGUUGUAAAUGGUGUUAUUUUAUUGAUGUGCUCAGCUACUUGCGGCAUCUAUUGCACUUCUGUCUCCUUUAGGAGAGGGAUCCCUCACAUGUAGCUCCGUCUGAUGUUUCUCUUUAUUCCCCUUUUAAUAGGUUGUUUUUUUAGGGCCCAAGCACCGAACCGGUGGGAGGCCAUAUUGAAAUUGUAAGGAUUAUUCUUAUAAUUAUUAAUCUACCCCAAAUGAAUUGGCUUUUUGAGGGCUUCAACAUGGUCGCAAAUCUUUUAAAAUUUGCAGUAAAUUAAAAAGUGGUGAAAAUGUACGUAUUCUGGAGUAUUUGGAAAUGGGCGUGGCAAAAUGGCUCAACAGCACAACCUGGAACACAGCCCCUAGUUUUGUUUUCUUACUCUUAAGGGUUGAGGGCAGGGGAUGUCACACGUAAUUAGGCCCUAUGAGGCAAACAGUGAUUUGUGAAUAUAGGCUAUACAAUAAAAACUGAUUGUUUGAUUUAUUGAUACCGCCGAUGAUGUAUCUGCAUCUUCACUGCAAAGUCCACUGUUCAAGUCCAGUGUCUUUUUGGAAUAUAGGUAGGUGUAAAUAAUCAAAUUAUAUUGCCUUGGCCUGAUUUUUUCAUCAAGAACCAUAAAUAAUUCCCUGAGGAAAAUGACGAAAAUGUUGAAAAGCGUCCUACCUCGCAUUUUCAAGAGUGAAAAAUAUUCCUGGAUCAACUCCCUGAUCCAGAUCUGCACCACCUUAAUGGGUUCUUCCCUGACACAUACCACAUUUUUCCAUCGUUGUCAUGGAGAUCCAUU